This 448-nucleotide ribosomal RNA is filed under the name uncultured bacterium. RNAcentral's name for it is "bacterial SSU rRNA". It matches the Rfam family "Bacterial small subunit ribosomal RNA", at positions 331 to 794 of the family's 1533-position model. The record is from RNAcentral.
CCAGACUCCUACGGGAGGCAGCAGUGGGGAAUAUUGGGCAAUGGGCGCAAGCCUGACCCAGCAACGCCGCGUGAAGGAAGAAGGCUUUCGGGUUGUAAACUUCUUUUGACAGGGAAGAGCAGAAGACGGUACCUGUCGAAUAAGCCACGGCUAACUACGUGCCAGCAGCCGCGGUAAUACGUAGGUGGCAAGCGUUGUCCGGAUUUACUGGGUGUAAAGGGCGUGCAGCCGGGAAGACAAGUCAGAUGUGAAAUCCCGCGGCUCAACCGCGGAACUGCAUUUGAAACUGUUUUUCUUGAGUACCGGAGAGGUCAUCGGAAUUCCUUGUGUAGCGGUGAAAUGCGUAGAUAUAAGGAAGAACACCAGUGGCGAAGGCGGCUUUCUGGACUGUAACUGACACUGAGGUACGAAAGCGUGGGGAGCAAACAGGAUUAGAUACCCCCGUAAA